RNAcentral lists this unclassified non-coding RNA (364 nucleotides) under uncultured bacterium. RNAcentral describes it as "contains 16S-23S intergenic spacer region". The record is from RNAcentral.
UCCGACUUGGAGCCGGCAGUCUCUUAUGAAAAAUUCAACAUAAGACAUGGGUUGCGCUCGUUUACGGACUUAACCGAACACCUCAAGGCACGAGCUGACGACAACCAUGCAGCACCUGUCACCGAGUUCCUUGCGGCACAAUCGCCUUUCGGCAAUCUUCUCGGGAUGUCAAGCCUUGGUAAGGUUCUUCGUUUACUGUCGAAUUAAACCAGAUGCUCCACCGCUUGUGCGGGUCCCCGUCUAUUCCUUUGAGUUUUAAUCUUGCGAUCGGACUACCCAGGCGGAUCACUUAUCGCGUUAGCUUAGACGCCGAAGGGGUCGAAUCCCCCGACAUCGAGUGAUCAUAGUUUAGGGCGUGGACUAC